CACGUAGGGUGCGAGCGUUGUCCGGAAUUAUUGGGCGUAAAGAGCUCGUAGGCGGUGUGUCGCGUCGGCCGUGAAAACCUGCAGCUUAACUGUGGGCUUGCGGUCGAUACGGGCAUCACUGGAGUUCGGUAGGGGAGACUGGAAUUCCUGGUGUAGCGGUGAAAUGCGCAGAUAUCAGGAGGAACACCGGUGGCGAAGGCGGGUCUCUGGGCAGUAACUGACGCUGAGGAGCGAAAGCGUGGGGAGCGAACAGG
This 254-nucleotide ribosomal RNA is filed under the name uncultured bacterium. RNAcentral describes it as "partial 16S ribosomal RNA". It matches the Rfam family "Bacterial small subunit ribosomal RNA", at positions 524 to 776 of the family's 1533-position model. The record is from RNAcentral.